CCUCCCCCCGGCCCGGCCCGGCCCGCCGCUCCGGGCCCGGCUUCCGCUCACAACAUGGCCGCCCCGGUCCUACCUGCCCGACUCAACGGCGCCUGCGCGUCGCCACCGCCGGGCGGGGAUACCGCCGCCCCGGCCCUUCACCGGCCGCAGGUACCGGGCCGGGGGCGCCGAGCAGCGGGUUGCCUCGAAGCGGGAAAGUCAUACUUCGGCAGGCCAGGAGACGUGAAGAUAAAGCUGUCAAAAAAAAAUCCCCACAGGUUCUGAAAACAGCCCUUACUUUACUUUUUAUCCUCAGCUGUAAGCUAGUACACAAACAGCCGACUUAAACACAUAGCGAGAUCCACGAAUGUAUGCGGUCUUACAUGGUUCUCUUAAAACGUUAAGCGCUGUAAUAAACACCCAUCCUUUGGCAACGUCAGAUGGCUUGGCUGAUGCAGAAGAAUCCUUGAAACAUUAGACCAGCGGCUGAAGACGGGUACGGGUGUCAAAGCCAAAUUUUUCAGAACUGUGCUUGAGAAGGCCCCCGCUGCGUUUUCAACAGCCCCCACUGUCCCAAAGCGUUUCUAGAUUUGACAGGUCACGUGCUUUUUUCUGUCCUUCAUAAAAGUUAACGUUCUUUAAAUAUUUGGAGUUUUUUGGGGGGUGGGAGGAAUGGCAAGAGUGCUAGUAAUUAAAAAUGUGUGUGUGCGUGCAUGCACACAGCACUGUGAUGAACACAGGCUACUUCUGUUUCUGCUUGGUGGCGGUUUUGAUCCCACUUUGUAUUCACGUAAGCAUAAAUACCUAUCUACAGAGGAGUGGAUAGGCAGUUGCUCAUAAUGAAUCAGACUUCAGCUGGUACUACAGAGACUUCCAUAUCUGGAGUAAAAGGCCAUAGCUGAAUGAUCCCUUGAAGCCGUCACCACUGCCAGGAGAAGCAGCUGUGCCCUCCCCUUGCUCACUGCUCUUCAAUCUGGCCCUUGCAUCAGCCUCUCUUUUGAAGUGGUGCAAUUGCUUGUGCUGCCACGUGGUGAGUUAGACUGGGGAAUAGAUCUACGUCAAAACUAACCCUACCCUUUUUACCUUCUGUUGUCCGCAAAAAAAACCCCCCACCGACUAACGCUAUCAAAGUUUGAGUUAAAGGUUGAAGAGAGGUCGGGACUGAUUCCUUCAAAAAUGGACAAUUUGCAAAACUCUGGCCAGUUAUUGGUAUGAAAUUUAGAGCAAGGUAACAGAAAACAGAUAAUUCAGUAGCACUUGGCAGCAUUUAUGCUUAAUAGCAUGAUGUUAAUAGCAAGGAAUAAUUUUUUUGUAGUCUGAUCAGCACCAGGUCACUUCAGCCUCAAACUGGCUGCUGGAAUGUUGAAUAGAAAACUCAUAUAUAUUCACAGCAGUCGUACAUUAUGUGUUUGACACACAAAUCGGGACUUUUUAAAAAAUCCUUGAGUUCAUGUAAAAAUCCAUGAUGAAAAAAAUGUUUCCUUCCAUCCCUCUGGAAACGUCAUUUUCUACUCCCUCACAGGGAUAAUUCGCUUUACAUUAUCAAAGCUCAUGCAUUUGUACCUGCCUACAUCAACUACACACAGUGAGAUACGUACAUCUGAGACGUGCCAUUAGGGAGAAGAACCUAAGCAGCUGAAAGGUGGCGAUGGUAACAGUGAGAAAACCCUAACCCUAAGCUUGCAUUUAACAUAGUUCAAGCCAUCCCUCUUUAUAUUAGACUUCCUUCCUCUAAAUAAAAAAUUCCAUGAUCUCCUCUUUUCCUUUCAUAGUUGUCUAGUCCUUUCCUGCCAUAGGUGCCUAUUCCAAAUUACUUGUUUGAAUUAAAACUCUCUUUAGAAGGAGAGUGGGUGUCACAUUUCAGUUAGUGUCUCUAAAUUUUGUGUGUUGGUCAUCUUUUGUCCUUCCCUGUAUGUGUCCUACGAAUCCAGAAAAAACAAGGGCAAAGAUCUUAUGCGCUAGCUUAUAAGAGGACUGCAAACAAUAGAAAUCUGACCUUUUCUCAGGCACUGAAGUACGGAGGGUAGGCAGAAGUAUGCCAUUUCAUUGUUCAGGGGUUUGAGUAUUAUCACACCACACAUUUAAAUUUUGUAAAGGAAAAAACUGCAUCAAGAUUUUAAUAGAAGCUACUAUGCAAGGACAGAGUUCAGGGCAAGAAAAUAAUCUGGAAAUUGUCUCCAUGGGGAAGAGAAACAUAUCAGUUAAUCUCUGGGAGAUGCGGGGGAUUCUGACUUUCAGAUCCUGCUAAGCUCAGACUUGGAUCAUCCUCCCGGUGAGAGGUAAGACGCUGAAGAUAUUUUGCCUCAAGACAGCAGCUCCUGUUUUUCAUUUCUUUUGUCUCAGGCCAAAGCAAGAUCAUGCUUUCACCCGUGGCAGCAGGCCUUUCCUUUUACCCUCUUUCCCUCUAGGCACAGCCAUCGCUACUUGACUGUAGUCACCACGAAUAACUGUCUGUCACCAGACUUGGUUGUGGGGGUUUAUUUCACCUUUGCAUAAGUGGUUGCAAUCGUAUUGCAUCCACAGAGAUGUUUUACAUGCAUUGCACUGGAAAAUUUGUGAUCACAUUCGUUAGGAAAAGGGUAGCGUGUGGCACUGAAAUGAUAGUGCUGCAUAAAAUCCUGUUAACCUGUCAUCACAUGAAUUUGGUGGGCUUCACGAGCUGCACCAUUUUUUGAUCUCGCUUCUAACAAAUCUCACUAAAAUGUCACCCUAUUGAAAGGGAGACAUCAGCUUAGUAGGACUUACCUGUCUUUCUCCACAGAAAGCGUCUUGAUGUGUGAGUAGCAGAAAUUGGGGAAGCUUGCUUACGGUCGGUGGUAUCUAAUGCUUUGCCUAGCUUUGGAGUAGUACCUACUUACUCUUUGCAAUUAAGGCAGAAUUCACGGCAGAGUUAGUAAAUCACCAUAGUCAUACUCCAAAAAUAAUAAGUGUAAAACAGGAUUAGUUUGCUAUUAUUACUAUCAGAAUAAUAUUUGGGAGCUUGAACUUGCAUUUUUAAAAUAUAAAUAGAAGGGGGGGAAAAACAAAGCAAACUAUUUAUGGCAACAAAAACCACAAUCCAACAUGCCUCUAGAAGGUGUAGUAGUGUGUUAGGUGUGAAUUAUAAUGCAGUAUCUUCUGGAUUAAAGUGAAUAGCAUAUGAAAAAGUAAAUGCAUUCCAAAAGUGUGAAAUUCAGUUUCAAGUAUUACAAUCACAAUACUGAGGUGUAUGAUUUGAAUUUAAUACACAAGAAAAUAUACAGAAGGUACUGUCCAAAUUUACAUGGGAAAAACCUCCAAGGAGUUAAAAAAAAAAAAAAUCGAUACAUUUUAUUUGUACAGCUAGUAGAUGCAGAGAGUCUCUUACUCUCAAGACACCUGGAUUCAGUUCCUAGCAGAUCACAAAGGACAAUUGUGUAAUUUAGCAAGUCACCUAAUAUAGAUGAGAUUCAACUAAGGAGCCUUAGUCUUUCUUAAUGAUGUUUUCAAAAGUGUGAAGAGGCCUUGAUUGGAGAAGUGUAAAUACAUCCUGCCAAAAUAGACUAAGGAAGCCUUAGUGCUAAUUAGAACUGGUUGCUCCAUGCUUUAGUUGCAAAUAUAAAGAACAUCUCCUUAACCUCAUUGGGAUAUUGAAAGGAUGGUUUCACCGAUGUUUGGAAAGCUGACAAAGACCAGGGGGAGAGAGACAAAGUGCUGCAAGAAGUUUCCAGCUGGUGUGAGUUGUCAUAGCAGAGACACCAGAAGGAUCGGCUAUAGGAACCAGGUUUAAAGAAAGUUUUAAUCAAUAAUUAAAAAGGGAAGAACUGAAAUGAAUGUCUCUUGUGUAUUAAGACUUAACCUGACCUUUCAAAACAACAUCUGCUGAAGGGUGCUUUCACCAUUACAGGCCCCUGGAUGAUGGAAUCGUACAGGAAUGCAAACAUUUCCUACAAUUUCCUCUGGCAGGCUCUUCUUUGAAGUUCUGAUCCUGCAAGUGUAGUAGAAGACACGAUAAUGACAAUGAGAAUACUUCUAAAUGCUCCGUAUAUUAGAGAUAUGGUGUCUGACUCACCGCUUAAAACUCUAGGUUUUCUGGACAUGUGUAUAUUUGCAUAAAAUUGCACUGAAAGAGUAAAGCCUAAUGGAUCAGGCUCAAUGGUAUUACUGCUCUGAGUUUUAUCUGUGGUCACUAUACUAGCAGGAAAUAUUGUGCCUGUGGUUUCUACAUCCUGAGUGGAAAUCUGGAAUUCAAUAAAAUAUGGUCUCAUUACAGCA
This is a long non-coding RNA of Aquila chrysaetos chrysaetos, 4212 nucleotides long. RefSeq lists it as uncharacterized. The record is from RefSeq and is a predicted model, not a curated record. The transcript has 2 exons. Lineage: Eukaryota; Metazoa; Chordata; Aves; Accipitriformes; Accipitridae.